RNAcentral lists this microRNA (22 nucleotides) under Parasteatoda tepidariorum (common house spider). RNAcentral describes it as "pte-miR-11949-5p". The record is from miRBase by way of RNAcentral. Lineage: Eukaryota; Metazoa; Arthropoda; Arachnida; Araneae; Theridiidae.
CGAUCUUACUGGAACACAAGUU